Molecule: unclassified non-coding RNA, 240 nt
Filed under: soil metagenome
Description: partial contains 5.8S ribosomal RNA, internal transcribed spacer 2, and large subunit ribosomal RNA
Source: RNAcentral
AAGACUAUAGACCUGCGGAGUACCGCGGAAGGAUCAUUACUGAAAGAUCACGGGGUUUUGAGACUGCAUCUUGAAAUGAUGUGUGCUCGACCCUACUCUUUUAUCCACAUACACCUUUUGUGCACUAUGGGACGAUUUAAAGUCCCCUUUAUUUACACAAACACUUGGUAUAUGCAUGUAUUUAAUACUCUAUUGAGUAAUGUACAACUUUCAGCAACGGAUCUCUAGAUCGGAAGAGCA